AUUGAACGCUGGCGGCAGGCCUAACACAUGCAAGUCGAGCGCGAAGGCUCUUCGGUUUGUGUAAAGCCGCGGACGGGUGAGGAAUGCAUGGGACUCUGACUGGUAGUCUGGGACAACGUCUCGACAGCGACGCUAAUACCGCAUACGCGGUACGGAGGAUAGGGGGGGUUCUUCGGACCUCUCGCUAUCAGUUGAGGCCAUGUCGAAUUAGCUAGUUGGUGGGGUAACGGCCUACCAAGGCGACGAUGUGUAACUGCUCUGAGAGGAUGAUCAGCCACACUGGAACUGAGACACGGUCCAGACUCCUACGGGAGGCAGCAGUGGGGAAUAUUCGACAAUGGGCGAAAGCCUGACCCAGCAACGCCGCGUGUGUGAAGAAGGUCUUAGGGUUGUAAAGCUCUGUCAGUGGGGAGAAAGGCAGUUUAAUGAAUCCGUGGACAGAUUGACGUUACCCAAAGAAGAAGCACCGGCUAACUACGUG
RNAcentral lists this ribosomal RNA (481 nucleotides) under uncultured bacterium. RNAcentral describes it as "partial 16S ribosomal RNA". It matches the Rfam family "Bacterial small subunit ribosomal RNA", at positions 30 to 507 of the family's 1533-position model. The record is from RNAcentral.